GCAAGUCGAACGGAAACGCGAAGAGCUUGCUCUUUGGCGUCGAGUGGCGGACGGGUGAGUAACGCGUGGGAAUCUACCCAGUAGUGGGGGAUAGCCAGGAGAAAUCCUGAUUAAUACCGCAUACGAUCUACGGAUGAAAGGUGGCCACUCCUUGGAAGCUAUCGCUAUUGGGUGAGCCCGCGUUAGAUUAGCUAGUUGGUGGGGUAAAGGCCUACCAAGGCGACGAUCUAUAGCUGGUCUGAGAGGACGACCAGCCACAUCGGGACUGAGACACGGCCCGGACUCCUACGGGAGGCAGCAGUGGGGAAUAUUGGACAAUGGGCGCAAGCCUGAUCCAGCAAUGCCGCGUGUGUGAAGAAGGCCUGAGGGUUGUAAAGCACUUUCAAUUGUGAAGAAGGGUAUAAGAUUAAUACUCUUGUACUUUGACGUUAACUUUAGAAGAAGCACCGGCUAACUCUGUGCCAGCAGCCGCGGUAAUACAGAGGGUGCAAGCGUUAGUCGGAAUUACUGGGCGUAAAGCGCGCGUAGGCGGUUAUUAAGUAG
This 543-nucleotide ribosomal RNA is filed under the name gamma proteobacterium ectosymbiont of Symmetromphalus aff. hageni. RNAcentral describes it as "bacterial SSU rRNA". It matches the Rfam family "Bacterial small subunit ribosomal RNA", at positions 57 to 590 of the family's 1533-position model. The record is from RNAcentral. Lineage: Bacteria; Pseudomonadati; Pseudomonadota; Gammaproteobacteria.